This 916-nucleotide unclassified non-coding RNA is filed under the name Hevea brasiliensis (rubber tree). The record is from RNAcentral. Lineage: Eukaryota; Viridiplantae; Streptophyta; Magnoliopsida; Malpighiales; Euphorbiaceae.
GCCAAUAUGUUACAGUGAGUAGGGUGAAAUUCAGCUGAAGUUAUCACCUCAGUUAGAUCUUCCAUAUUUGUUGGCUUGACAUCAAUAAUAUUGAAACUUUGAUUGCUUAUUUGCAAGUUCCAAAGGUUUAUACGGAGAUCAUCAGCUGAUAUAAAUGUUUCCCCAUCACAGUUAGUUGAAAUAGAAUUGAUAUGAUAGUCAUGUGCAUGGGCAUACACUCUUCUACAUCUAGCAGCAAGGCUGGUCUCACCGCUAGUAACCACAGGUAAGCGUAAUCCAGGAAGACCACCAGGUGGAAACGACAAAUCAUUGCUUAAACAUUCAGAAGAUCCAUCUGUGUAGCACCCAUUUGCAAGAUACUGUUUUUGACUGGAAGAAACGCUUGAACUGGGCAUGCUACCUUUUGCAACACCUCUGGAAGGGUCGAUAUUCAGAUCAGAUAUCUUCUUAACUUUCUUCUCUUGGACCUUCCAGAACUUAAUAGUUUUGUCAUUAGUAGACAAAAGGAAGAGGGCACCAUUAGCCAUUUGGCACCACCGGAUCUUAUUGAUCUUCUCCUCAAUCUCCAAACUCUUCAAAUAAUCAAACUCAGGCUCAUGGCUUUGAAACUCUGUUUUGUAACGGAAUUCGGGAUGCCGAGCGACUGGAUAAUCCAUUCUCUCUAAUUCUCUUUGGCUUCCAGCAUGCUCCUUCGCAUCGGUCCUUUCAAAUAACACCACCCUACCCCCUCGAUCCCCGGUGGCAAGAUGGUCGCCAGUUCUAUCAAACUCAAUAGCUGAAAUGACAUCAACUUCCUGAACUUCUUCGCCGGCCGUACGUUCACCAAAUACCUGAGAGAAUUUCCACUCCAAUGGAGCUGGUGUUCCCGCCGAAGCUCCGCCAUCACCAGCGUUCAUCUUUCCUCAACCGAUUAAAA